UUUCUCUCAUCUCUCCCUUUUCUCUCUCCUCCUCGGUCCAGUAUGUUUGGGAAAGGCUACUUCCUGGUUUUAAACACAAGAACUUCCGCAGUCGAGAAGGAAUCUGUCUCUGUCUCAGUGCCACGCUCAGCACGUAUGGAGCCCAGCAACUAAGCCUCAGUAAACUAGUUCCUCAUCUCUGCUCUCUGAGUGGAGACCAGAACCCGCAGGUGCGUGAGGCCUCCAUCACAACAUUGGUGGAUAUUUAUCGUCACGUUGGAGACAAGGUCAGAAUAGACCUGGGAAAGAGAGGACUCCCGGCUGCACGGUGAGUUUAUUUG
This is a long non-coding RNA of Morone saxatilis (striped sea-bass), 320 nucleotides long. RefSeq lists it as uncharacterized. Lineage: Eukaryota; Metazoa; Chordata; Actinopteri; Moronidae. The record is from RefSeq and is a predicted model, not a curated record. The transcript has 3 exons.